GAAGCCUGACGACGCAACGCCGCGUGGAGGACGAAGAUCUUCGGGUCGUAAACUCCUGUCGAGCGGGAAGAACACCUUUCGGGCUAACAGUCCGGAGGGUUGACGGUACCGCUAAAGGAAGCCCCGGCUAACUCCGUGCCAGCAGCCGCGGUAAUACGGGGGGGCAAGCGUUGUUCGGAAUUACUGGGCGUAAAGGGCUCGUAGGCGGCCGACUAAGUCCGACGUGAAAUCCCCAGGCUCAACCUGGGAACUGCGUCGGAUACUGGAUGGCUUGAAUUCGGGAGAGGGAUGCAGAGUUCCAGGUGUAGCGGUGAAAUGCGUAGAUAUCUGGAGGAAUACCGGUGGCGAAGGCGGCAUCCUGGACCGAGAUUGACGCUGAUGAGCGAAAGCUAGGGGGAGCAAACGGGAUUAGAUACCCCGGUAGUCCUAGCCCUAAACGAUGAAUGCUUGGUGUGACGGGUAUCGAUCCCCGUCGUGCCGAAGCUAACGCAUUAAGCAUUCCGCCUGGGGAGUACGGUCGCAAGGCUG
This 528-nucleotide ribosomal RNA is filed under the name uncultured Acidobacteriota bacterium. Its description in RNAcentral is "bacterial SSU rRNA". It matches the Rfam family "Bacterial small subunit ribosomal RNA", at positions 378 to 896 of the family's 1533-position model. The record is from RNAcentral. Lineage: Bacteria; Pseudomonadati; Acidobacteriota.